GAUGAACGCUGGCGGCGUGCCUAAUACAUGCAAGUCGAGCGAAUGGAUUAAGAGUUUGCUCUUAUGAAGUUAGCGGCGGACGGGUGAGUAACACGUGGGUAACCUGCCCAUAAGACUGGGAUAACUCCGGGAAACCGGGGCUAAUACCGGAUAACAUUUUGAACCGCAUGGUUCGAAAUUGAAAGGCGGCUUCGGCUGUCACUUAUGGAUGGACCCGCGUCGCAUUAGCUAGUUGGUGAGGUAACGGCUCACCAAGGCAACGAUGCGUAGCCGACCUGAGAGGGUGGUCGGCCACACUGGGACUGAGACACGGCCCAGACUCCUACGGGAGGCAGCAGUAGGGAAUCGUCCGCAAUGGACGAAAGUCUGACGGAGCAACGCCGCGUGAGUGACGAAGGCUUUCGGGUCGUAAAACUCUGUUGUUAGGGAAGAACAAGUGCUAGUUGAAUAAGCUGGCACCUUGACGGUACCUAACCAGAAAGCCACGGCUAACUACGUGCCAGCAGCCGCGGUAA
Molecule: ribosomal RNA, 515 nt
Filed under: uncultured bacterium
Lineage: Bacteria
Description: partial 16S ribosomal RNA
Rfam family: Bacterial small subunit ribosomal RNA
Source: RNAcentral